Molecule: long non-coding RNA, 281 nt
Organism: Rhipicephalus microplus (southern cattle tick)
Lineage: Eukaryota; Metazoa; Arthropoda; Arachnida; Ixodida; Ixodidae
Source: RefSeq, a predicted model, not a curated record
GAUCUUUGCAGUUCAAGACAUGGACAGCAUCUUUGCCAAGUACUUCCUUGUGGGCUUGCUGCUGCGCUUGUUACGCUGAUCAUUGCACCGAACAGUGCUGGCGCCAUUCCUCCUGGAGUAGUCGAAAAUGCCGCUAAUGCACUUUCACAGGCAUUUGGAAGAAACGAGGAAAGUGCGGAAGAAUGAGACGUUUAUCUGCGUGAUGCCUUGCGCUGGUCAUACGUUGCAUUGUACAUUGUAUGCAGCUUCAUUGAAAUAAAUAAAAUCAAGAAAUCAGAGAA